This 154-nucleotide ribosomal RNA is filed under the name Megaskepasma erythrochlamys. RNAcentral's name for it is "5.8S ribosomal RNA". It matches the Rfam family "5.8S ribosomal RNA". From Rfam's summary of the family: 5.8S ribosomal RNA (5.8S rRNA) is a component of the large subunit of the eukaryotic ribosome. It is transcribed by RNA polymerase I as part of the 45S precursor that also contains 18S and 28S rRNA. Lineage: Eukaryota; Viridiplantae; Streptophyta; Magnoliopsida; Lamiales; Acanthaceae. The record is from RNAcentral.
UCGGCAACGGAUAUCUCGGCUCUCGCAUCGAUGAAGAACGUAGCGAAAUGCGAUACUUGGUGUGAAUUGCAGAAUCCCGUGAACCAUCGAGUCUUUGAACGCAAGUUGCGCCCGAAGCCUUCGGGCCGAGGGCACGCCUGCCUGGGCGUCACGC